RNAcentral lists this long non-coding RNA (1008 nucleotides) under Carica papaya (papaya). RNAcentral describes it as "long non-coding RNA (CPAP_LNC007332)". Lineage: Eukaryota; Viridiplantae; Streptophyta; Magnoliopsida; Brassicales; Caricaceae. The record is from RNAcentral.
UUGAUGAUAACCAUACAAAAACUUAGCCACCAACAUUUAAGUUCUUCUGUCCAGGAUUUUUUAACAGAAGCAAUCUCCCAGCAAGUAGAUCUAUCAGAGACAACUAGAUCAAUGCUUCAUGUGUAUAUAAAUAUUAUCUGCAUAAGUAUGCAUAGCAGUGAAAUAGCAGACCAUUUCAUAUAGAUCUAUCAACCACAACUGGAAUCAGAGCAAGCAGAUACACAGUUAUCAUCAUCACAAGUCUAGUACAUGUCAACAGUAUUGGUUUCGUCAGGUGGUUAAAGGGACACACAUACACCGCACUAGGUGUAGUCAUCUAUGGAUAUCUCACUUGCAUUUGGACAGCACUGACAAACACACAAGCAACUUCUCCAUACAAGCAUAUGGACAAAUCCACACACUACCGUCCACACCAAAUUUUCUGUCCCAACAAUUGCUCAGAAAUUGCACGUGUUGCCAAUUUAAGUCCAAAAGCAUAAAAAAUAUCCAAUCUAGCACACUCAACAUUUUACAAGAGCAGCAUAACAAGUUUAGAAUCCGUCCAGAUUAAUAAGUUCUCCAGAACCCCAAGACUAGAGAAGCAUUUAUGCUCCCUUCAGGCGAUAUGAGCUACAGGUUUUGGUUGUAAUCCAUCAUGAGGAACCCGGCCUUUUUCCAAGUAACCUGCUUCAGGUGAAGUUUCAGCACUCAGAUUGGAUUUUGUGUCGUCAUUCUUCUUUCCAGCAGAUGGAGGCGGAUAUGGAUUCUUGCUCACCAACCUGUAUCAAGAAAAGGGUAAUGCAAUAAGCUGUCACAAUAUUUUGUUUUGAAAGCUUGUGCCUUGUGGUUUCUAGUCAGUAAAGAUGAACACUAUAUGAAAGAUUUUACCUAUUACUCAGACAAGUUUGUCACUGACAACAACGCAUUUACUUACAAUUUUUGUGGCCUGUAAGGUGGUGACUUUGGGAAAAUUUGAGAUUAUAUUUAACCAUGAUUACCUGUCCCGCCUUUUCUCAAAGAAUUUNNNNN